This 434-nucleotide ribosomal RNA is filed under the name uncultured Syntrophomonas sp. Its description in RNAcentral is "bacterial SSU rRNA". It matches the Rfam family "Bacterial small subunit ribosomal RNA", at positions 948 to 1382 of the family's 1533-position model. Lineage: Bacteria; Bacillati; Bacillota; Clostridia; Eubacteriales; Syntrophomonadaceae. The record is from RNAcentral.
AAUUCGAUGCAACGCGAAGAACCUUACCAGGUCUUGACAUCCACGAAUUCAUCUGAAAGGAUGGAGUGCCUUCGGGAGCGUGGAGACAGGUGGUGCAUGGUUGUCGUCAGCUCGUGUCGUGAGAUGUUGGGUUAAGUCCCGCAACGAGCGCAACCCUUGCUAUUAGUUGCUAACAGGUAGAGCUGAGCACUCUAAUGGGACUGCCGGUGACAAGCCGGAGGAAGGUGGGGAUGACGUCAAAUCAUCAUGCCCUUUAUGACCUGGGCUACACACGUGCUACAAUGGAUGGUACAGAGAGCAGCGAGGCAGCGAUGUGGAGCGAAUCUCAAAAAGCCAUUCUCAGUUCGGAUUGGAGUCUGCAACUCGACUCCAUGAAGUCGGAAUCGCUAGUAAUCGCGAAUCAGCAUGUCGCGGUGAAUGCGUUCCCGGGCCUU